RNAcentral lists this ribosomal RNA (253 nucleotides) under uncultured bacterium. Its description in RNAcentral is "partial 16S ribosomal RNA". It matches the Rfam family "Bacterial small subunit ribosomal RNA", at positions 524 to 776 of the family's 1533-position model. The record is from RNAcentral.
UACGUAGGGGGCAAGCGUUGUCCGGAAUCAUUGGGCGUAAAGAGCGUGUAGGCGGCCCGGUAAGUCCGCUGUGAAAGUCCAGGGCUCAACCCUGGGAUGCCGGUGGAUACUGUCGGGCUCGAGUCCGGAAGAGGAGUGUGGAAUUCCUGGUGUAGCGGUGAAAUGCGCAGAUAUCAGGAGGAACACCGGUGGCGAAGGCGGGUCUCUGGGCAGUAACUGACGCUGAGGAGCGAAAGCGUGGGGAGCGAACAGG